Molecule: non-coding RNA, 46 nt
Filed under: unclassified sequences
Source: RNAcentral
GGUUGGGCAUCACGCUUCAAGGUUUUCCUUCUUAGGGCAGGAAGGA